UACGUAGGGUGCGAACGUUGUCCGGAAUUAUUGGGGCGUAAAAGGGACGUCUCUGAUGAGGCCGGGUUUCGUCGGUCCGGCUCGGGGAUCGGAUUGAAACCCGUUGGGGAAACCUUUGGGAACCUUUCAACCGGUGACGCUUUGGCCGGGGUCCGGAAUUAACCGGGGGGCCAAUUCGAACCUUUGGGAAGGUUUUCCGGGGCCAA
RNAcentral lists this ribosomal RNA (206 nucleotides) under uncultured bacterium. RNAcentral's name for it is "partial 16S ribosomal RNA". The record is from RNAcentral.